Molecule: long non-coding RNA, 248 nt
Filed under: Phoenix dactylifera (date palm)
Lineage: Eukaryota; Viridiplantae; Streptophyta; Magnoliopsida; Arecales; Arecaceae
Description: long non-coding RNA (PDAC_LNC017170)
Source: RNAcentral
UGAUGGAGUCGGAGGGAGGGAGCGAGUUGAGGAAGCGAGCGGCGGCGAUGGCAGACAAGGCGAAGGAGGCGUGGAAGGAUGGAGGGUCGUCCGAGGCGGCGUGGGUGGAGGUGGUGAAGGUUAUCAAGAACGGUGGCAACGGAGUCCGUGGAUGACUCGAUUUCUUGCGCUAAAUAUUCAGAUAGCUUUUUAUUUUUUUAAGGAUGCUUGUUAUAUCUUUCGUUGAAAUAAUAUAGAUGUGAAAGUGA